GUUGGGGAAUGCAACCUUUUCAUCAAAGAGAGUAGGACUUAUAAUUUCAAGUCCACUGCCGGAUGCCAUGUUUGAAGUUGCAUAAUUGGAGACAAAUGUGGUCAUUUGAGGACAGUUUUGUAUGCACAGCUCUUUCAAGGCAGGGCAUUCAACUAAAGUACUAGUGCAGAAUCGUGUGAGUUUUGGAAGAUCUUUAAGCUUCAGGGACUCUAGUUGAUGG
RNAcentral lists this unclassified non-coding RNA (220 nucleotides) under Hevea brasiliensis (rubber tree). Lineage: Eukaryota; Viridiplantae; Streptophyta; Magnoliopsida; Malpighiales; Euphorbiaceae. The record is from RNAcentral.